This 467-nucleotide ribosomal RNA is filed under the name uncultured bacterium. RNAcentral's name for it is "partial 16S ribosomal RNA". It matches the Rfam family "Bacterial small subunit ribosomal RNA", at positions 29 to 507 of the family's 1533-position model. The record is from RNAcentral.
ACGAACGCUGGCGGCGUGCUUAACACAUGCAAGUCGAACGGAAAGGCCCUGCUUUUGUGGGGUGCUCGAGUGGCGAACGGGUGAGUAACACGUGAGUAACCUGCCCUUGACUUUGGGAUAACUUUAGGAAACCGGGGCUAAUACCGGAAAGGAGCUCCUGCUGCAUGGUGGGGGUUGGAAAGUUUCGGCGGUGGGGGAUGGACUCGCGGCUUAUUAGCUUGUUGGUGGGGUGGUGGCUUACCAAGGCUUUGACGGGUAGCCGGCCUGAGAGGGUGACCGGCCACAUUGGGACUGAGAUACGGCCCAGACUCCUACGGGAGGCAGCAGUGGGGAAUAUUGCACAAUGGGCGGAAGCCUGAUGCAGCAACGCCGCGUGCGGGAUGACGGCCUUCGGGUUGUAAACCGCUUUCGCCUGUGACGAAGCGUGAGUGACGGUAAUGGGUAAAGAAGCACCAGCUAACUACGUG